ACUCAAAUGAAUAGACGGGGACCCGCACAAGCGGUGGAUGAUGUGGAUUAAUUCGAUGCAACGCGAAAAACCUUACCUACCCUUGACAUGGUUCGAAUUGACCAGAGAUGGUUGAGUGCUCGCAAGAGAACGGACACACAGGUGCUGCAUGGCUGUCGUCAGCUCGUGUCGUGAGAUGUUGGGUUAAGUCCCGCAACGAGCGCAACCCUUGUCAUUAAUUGCCAUCAUUUAGUUGGGCACUUUAAUGAGACUGCCGGUGACAAACCGGAGGAAGGUGGGGAUGAGGUCAAGUCCUCAUGGCCCUUAUGGGUAGGGCUUCACACGUCAUACAAUGGUACAUACAGAGGGUAGCGAACCUGCGAAGGGGAGCCAAUCCCACAAAGUGUAUCGUAGUCCGGAUUGGAGUCUGCAACUCGACUCCAUGAAGUUGGAAUCGCUAGUAAUCGCGGAUCAGCAUGUCGCGGUGAAUACGUUCCCGGGUCUUGCACACACCGCCCGU
This 499-nucleotide ribosomal RNA is filed under the name uncultured bacterium. RNAcentral describes it as "partial 16S ribosomal RNA". It matches the Rfam family "Bacterial small subunit ribosomal RNA", at positions 899 to 1397 of the family's 1533-position model. The record is from RNAcentral.